CCCCUAUUUUUGGGGUCACACGGGAGGGGCACCCCUGGUUUGGGGUGUCCUGGUGCUUGGGGUCCUUUCCUGCAGGUUCCCCAAACACCCAAAUUUUGGGGUGCUGAUGCUCCAUCCUCGGCCCGUUGGGUUUUCACAUUUCCUGUCCUUUUUGGGGUCCCAUAUUUGGAGGCUGCCCAAACCCAGCUUUUGGGGUAUCUUCAGCUUUUGGGGUACCCCCAUUUUGGGGUCACUGCAGGUUCUGGAUCCUUUCAUUUCCCAGGGGCGCCGCAUCCUCAGGACGCCGUUUUUGGGGCUGUGUCCGUUUCAGGGGUGCAGUUUGGGGUCAGUCGUGGUACAAGCGCAGCAGGCAGGGGCUGAUGGCCGUGUUUGGGGCGCUGUUUUUGGGGUGCUGUUUUUGGGGUGCCCCUCACCUUCUCCACCAGGUCCACGAAGAAGUCGCGCACGUCGCGGGCGUGGGUCAGCUUCCCCCCCACGUUCAC
RNAcentral lists this long non-coding RNA (482 nucleotides) under Junco hyemalis (dark-eyed junco). RNAcentral describes it as "lncRNA (ENSJHYG00000001864.1)". Lineage: Eukaryota; Metazoa; Chordata; Aves; Passeriformes; Passerellidae. The record is from RNAcentral.